CGCGGGGUGGAGCAGCCCGGUAGCUCGUCAGGCUCAUAACCUGAAGGUCACCGGUUCAAAUCCUGUCCCCGCAACCA
This 77-nucleotide transfer RNA is filed under the name Mycobacterium tuberculosis. Its description in RNAcentral is "tRNA-Met". It matches the Rfam family "tRNA". Rfam says of the family: Transfer RNA (tRNA) molecules are approximately 80 nucleotides in length. Their secondary structure includes four short double-helical elements and three loops (D, anti-codon, and T loops). Lineage: Bacteria; Bacillati; Actinomycetota; Actinomycetes; Mycobacteriales; Mycobacteriaceae. The record is from RNAcentral.